CUGCAUCUGUUAUAUUCUCCAAUAGAAAGAAUCUCAGUUCCUUUGGGAACAAAGCUUUCAAAAUUGUUUCUAGUAUGUGAACAAAGCUUUAAGAAUAAUUUCCAUGGGAAAUUUAUUUCCUGAUGGAAACUUUGCUUUUCCAAUGGGAACUAUAGAUUUUCCCAUUGAAACUCUAGCUUUGAAGAUCUUUAAAAGUACAUUUGACCUUUGGAGUGACUUGAUUACAGGCGUCAUAUAAAAUUUGGACCUGCAGUUGUCGAAAGAAUUUUUACGACUUAUAUUAAUAGCAUAAAGUAAGAUUCGUAUUUUCCGGAAUGGCAAAUUUUGUCCCGCAUAGUGAUUUUCAUAUUAAGGUUAUGGGUUUUUCAUGCCUUUUGUUUCAUACACCACUACACCAUCAGAAAACAAUACAACACGUAUAAUUUAUAUUCACGAUACAUUGCAUAUUAAAACUGGCAGAAGUUUAACCCCAUAUUUCUGAAAAGAAUUAAUGUCAGAAGAAUUUG
This 506-nucleotide long non-coding RNA is filed under the name Mytilus galloprovincialis (Mediterranean mussel). Lineage: Eukaryota; Metazoa; Mollusca; Bivalvia; Mytilida; Mytilidae. The record is from RNAcentral.